This 2926-nucleotide ribosomal RNA is filed under the name Escherichia fergusonii. Its description in RNAcentral is "23S ribosomal RNA". It matches the Rfam family "Bacterial large subunit ribosomal RNA". Lineage: Bacteria; Pseudomonadati; Pseudomonadota; Gammaproteobacteria; Enterobacterales; Enterobacteriaceae. The record is from RNAcentral.
GGGUUGUGAGGUUAAGCGACUAAGCGUACACGGUGGAUGCCCUGGCAGUCAGAGGCGAUGAAGGACGUGCUAAUCUGCGAUAAGCGUCGGUAAGGUGAUAUGAACCGUUAUAACCGGCGAUUUCCGAAUGGGGAAACCCAGUGUGAUUCGUCACACUAUCAUUAACUGAAUCCAUAGGUUAAUGAGGCGAACCGGGGGAACUGAAACAUCUAAGUACCCCGAGGAAAAGAAAUCAACCGAGAUUCCCCCAGUAGCGGCGAGCGAACGGGGAGGAGCCCAGAGCCUGAAUCAGUGUGUGUGUUAGUGGAAGCGUCUGGAAAGGCGCGCGAUACAGGGUGACAGCCCCGUACACAAAAAUGCACAUACUGUGAGCUCGAUGAGUAGGGCGGGACACGUGGUAUCCUGUCUGAAUAUGGGGGGACCAUCCUCCAAGGCUAAAUACUCCUGACUGACCGAUAGUGAACCAGUACCGUGAGGGAAAGGCGAAAAGAACCCCGGCGAGGGGAGUGAAAAAGAACCUGAAACCGUGUACGUACAAGCAGUGGGAGCCUCUUUAUGGGGUGACUGCGUACCUUUUGUAUAAUGGGUCAGCGACUUAUAUUCUGUAGCAAGGUUAACCGAAUAGGGGAGCCGAAGGGAAACCGAGUCUUAACUGGGCGUUAAGUUGCAGGGUAUAGACCCGAAACCCGGUGAUCUAGCCAUGGGCAGGUUGAAGGUUGGGUAACACUAACUGGAGGACCGAACCGACUAAUGUUGAAAAAUUAGCGGAUGACUUGUGGCUGGGGGUGAAAGGCCAAUCAAACCGGGAGAUAGCUGGUUCUCCCCGAAAGCUAUUUAGGUAGCGCCUCGUGAAUUCAUCUCCGGGGGUAGAGCACUGUUUCGGCAAGGGGGUCAUCCCGACUUACCAACCCGAUGCAAACUGCGAAUACCGGAGAAUGUUAUCACGGGAGACACACGGCGGGUGCUAACGUCCGUCGUGAAGAGGGAAACAACCCAGACCGCCAGCUAAGGUCCCAAAGUCAUGGUUAAGUGGGAAACGAUGUGGGAAGGCCCAGACAGCCAGGAUGUUGGCUUAGAAGCAGCCAUCAUUUAAAGAAAGCGUAAUAGCUCACUGGUCGAGUCGGCCUGCGCGGAAGAUGUAACGGGGCUAAACCAUGCACCGAAGCUGCGGCAGCGACGCUUAUGCGUUGUUGGGUAGGGGAGCGUUCUGUAAGCCUGCGAAGGUGUGCUGUGAGGCAUGCUGGAGGUAUCAGAAGUGCGAAUGCUGACAUAAGUAACGAUAAAGCGGGUGAAAAGCCCGCUCGCCGGAAGACCAAGGGUUCCUGUCCAACGUUAAUCGGGGCAGGGUGAGUCGACCCCUAAGGCGAGGCCGAAAGGCGUAGUCGAUGGGAAACAGGUUAAUAUUCCUGUACUUGGUGUUACUGCGAAGGGGGGACGGAGAAGGCUAUGUUGGCCGGGCGACGGUUGUCCCGGUUUAAGCGUGUAGGCUGGUUUUCCAGGCAAAUCCGGAAAAUCAAGGCUGAGGCGUGAUGACGAGGCACUACGGUGCUGAAGCGACAAAUGCCCUGCUUCCAGGAAAAGCCUCUAAGCAUCAGGUAACAUCAAAUCGUACCCCAAACCGACACAGGUGGUCAGGUAGAGAAUACCAAGGCGCUUGAGAGAACUCGGGUGAAGGAACUAGGCAAAAUGGUGCCGUAACUUCGGGAGAAGGCACGCUGAUAUGUAGGUGAAGCGACUUGCUCGUGGAGCUGAAAUCAGUCGAAGAUACCAGCUGGCUGCAACUGUUUAUUAAAAACACAGCACUGUGCAAACACGAAAGUGGACGUAUACGGUGUGACGCCUGCCCGGUGCCGGAAGGUUAAUUGAUGGGGUUAGCGGUAACGCGAAGCUCUUGAUCGAAGCCCCGGUAAACGGCGGCCGUAACUAUAACGGUCCUAAGGUAGCGAAAUUCCUUGUCGGGUAAGUUCCGACCUGCACGAAUGGCGUAAUGAUGGCCAGGCUGUCUCCACCCGAGACUCAGUGAAAUUGAACUCGCUGUGAAGAUGCAGUGUACCCGCGGCAAGACGGAAAGACCCCGUGAACCUUUACUAUAGCUUGACACUGAACAUUGAGCCUUGAUGUGUAGGAUAGGUGGGAGGCUUUGAAGUGUGGACGCCAGUCUGCAUGGAGCCGACCUUGAAAUACCACCCUUUAAUGUUUGAUGUUCUAACGUUGGCCCCUUAUCGGGGUUGCGGACAGUGUCUGGUGGGUAGUUUGACUGGGGCGGUCUCCUCCUAAAGAGUAACGGAGGAGCACGAAGGUUGGCUAAUCCUGGUCGGACAUCAGGAGGUUAGUGCAAUGGCAUAAGCCAGCUUGACUGCGAGCGUGACGGCGCGAGCAGGUGCGAAAGCAGGUCAUAGUGAUCCGGUGGUUCUGAAUGGAAGGGCCAUCGCUCAACGGAUAAAAGGUACUCCGGGGAUAACAGGCUGAUACCGCCCAAGAGUUCAUAUCGACGGCGGUGUUUGGCACCUCGAUGUCGGCUCAUCACAUCCUGGGGCUGAAGUAGGUCCCAAGGGUAUGGCUGUUCGCCAUUUAAAGUGGUACGCGAGCUGGGUUUAGAACGUCGUGAGACAGUUCGGUCCCUAUCUGCCGUGGGCGCUGGAGAACUGAGGGGGGCUGCUCCUAGUACGAGAGGACCGGAGUGGACGCAUCACUGGUGUUCGGGUUGUCAUGCCAAUGGCACUGCCCGGUAGCUAAAUGCGGAAGAGAUAAGUGCUGAAAGCAUCUAAGCACGAAACUUGCCCCGAGAUGAGUUCUCCCUGACUCCUUGAGAGUCCUGAAGGAACGUUGAAGACGACGACGUUGAUAGGCCGGGUGUGUAAGCGCAGCGAUGCGUUGAGCUAACCGGUACUAAUGAACCGUGAGGCUUAACCUUACAACGCCGAAG